CCUACGGGUGGCAGCAGUCGAGAAUCAUUCACAAUGGGGGAAACCCUGAUGGGGCGACGCCGCGUGGGGGAAUGAAGGUCUGCGGAUUGUAAACCCCUGUCAUGUGGGAGCAAAUUAAAAAGAUAGUACCACAAGAGGAAGAGACGGCUAACUCAGGGCCAGCAGCCGCGGUAAUACAGAGGUCUCAAGCGAUGUUCGGAAUCACUGGGCGUAAAGCGUGCGUAGGCUGUUUCGUAAGGCGGGUGUGAAAGGCGCGGGCUCAACCCGCGGACGGCACAUGAGACUGCGAGACUAGAGUAAUGGCGGCGUAACCGGCAUUCUCGGUGUAGCCGUGAAAUGCGUAGAUAUCGCGAGGAACACUCGUGGCGAAGGCGGGUUCCUGGACCUUAACUGACGCUGAGGCACGAAGGCCCGGGGAGCGAAAGGGAUUAGAUACCCCGGUAGUC
This 446-nucleotide ribosomal RNA is filed under the name uncultured bacterium. Its description in RNAcentral is "partial 16S ribosomal RNA". It matches the Rfam family "Bacterial small subunit ribosomal RNA", at positions 338 to 795 of the family's 1533-position model. The record is from RNAcentral.